Small nuclear RNA from Rattus norvegicus (Norway rat), 105 nucleotides. The record is from Ensembl. Lineage: Eukaryota; Metazoa; Chordata; Mammalia; Rodentia; Muridae.
CUGCUCACAUUGGCAGCACAUAUACUAAAAUUGUAACAAUACAGAGAACUAGCAUGGCUCCUACUCAAGGAUGACACAUAGACUCAUGAAGCAUUCCAUAUAUUU